Molecule: ribosomal RNA, 422 nt
Filed under: uncultured bacterium
Lineage: Bacteria
Description: bacterial SSU rRNA
Rfam family: Bacterial small subunit ribosomal RNA
Source: RNAcentral
GGAAUCUUGCGCAAUGGGCGAAAGCUUGACGCAGCCACGCCGCGUGGAUGAUGAAGGCCUUCGGGUCGUAAAGUCCUUUUCUGAAGGAAGAACAGUCCGGUGAGGAAAUGCUCCGGAUUUGACGGUACUUCAGGAAUAAGCCCCGGCUAACCCUGUGCCAGCAGCCGCGGUAAUACAGAGGUGGCAAGCGUUGUUCGGAAUUACUGGGCGUAAAGGGAGCGCAGGCGGCCAGGUCAGUCUGAAGUGCAAGCCCGGGGCUCAACCCCGGAAUUGCUUUGGAUACUACUUGGCUUGAGUACGUCAGAGGUGAGCGGAAUUCCAGGUGUAGCGGUGAAAUGCGUAGAUAUCUGGAGGAACAUCGGUGGCGAAAGCGGCUCACUGGGACGAGACUGACACUGAGGCUCGAAAGCGUGGGGAGCGAA